AAAGUCGUAACAAGGUCUCCGUUGGUGAACCAGCGGAGGGAUCAUUACAAGAGAAGCUUCGGCUCUCCAACCCACUGUGAACAUACCUACGUUCCCUCGGCGGGCUCAGCGCGCGGUGCCUCCGGGCGCCGGGCGUCCGCCGGGGGCCCCCAAACUCGAAUUUACUACGUGUAUCUCUGAGGGGCGAAAGCCUGAAAAAAUGAAUCAAAACUUUCAACAACGGAUCUCUUGGCUCUG
This 237-nucleotide unclassified non-coding RNA is filed under the name Ascomycota sp. RNAcentral's name for it is "partial contains small subunit ribosomal RNA, internal transcribed spacer 1, and 5.8S ribosomal RNA". The stretch from base 1 to 47 matches the Rfam family "Eukaryotic small subunit ribosomal RNA", at positions 1785 to 1831 of the family's 1831-position model. Lineage: Eukaryota; Fungi; Ascomycota. The record is from RNAcentral.